GGGGGGGGGGGGGGGGGGGGGGGGGGCGGGGGGGGCGGGGGGGCUGGGGGGGGGGUUGCUCGUGGGCGGGCAGCGGCGGACGGGUGGGUAACACGUGGGCCACCGGCCCGCAAGACCGGGAUAACUCCGGGAAACCGGAGCUAAUACCGGAUAACACCGACGAACGCAUGGUCUUUGGUUGAAAGGCGGCGCAAGCUGCCACUUGCGGCUGGGCCCGCGGCGCCUUAGCUAGUUGGUGAGGUAACGGCUCACCAAGGCGACGAUGCGGAGCCGGCCUGAGAGGGUGACCGGCCACAAUGGGACUGAGACACGGCCCAGAAGCCUACGGGAGGCAGCAGUAGGGCAUCUUCCGCAAUGGGCGAAAGCCUGACGGAGCGACGCCGCGUGAGCGAAGAAGGCCUUCGGGUCGUAAAGCUCUGUUGUGAGGGACGAAGGAGCGCCGUUUGAAGAAGGCGGCGCGGUGACGGUACCUCACGAGGAAGCCCCGGCUAACUACGUG
RNAcentral lists this ribosomal RNA (499 nucleotides) under uncultured bacterium. RNAcentral's name for it is "partial 16S ribosomal RNA". It matches the Rfam family "Bacterial small subunit ribosomal RNA", at positions 35 to 507 of the family's 1533-position model. The record is from RNAcentral.